UGUGAUUCCGUUAGUAACGGCGAGUGAACACGGAAAAGCUCAUCGAUGAAGGGGAAUCUUUUGAUUUCCCGGUGUUCGGUUACGGAUUGGUACCAGAUUGUUUUGUCGCACAGCAAUCCUGUUGGAAUGCAUGAUCAUAGAGGGUAAUAAUCCCGUAUGUGUGCUUCAAUUCAAUCAACGGUCCUUUCUAGAGAGUAGAGUUAUUUGAAACUGUAACUCAAAGUGGAGAUAUGUCUCUCCAAAAGCUAAAUAAAAUGCGAGCCCGAUAGCAAACAAGUACCGUGAGGGAAAGUUGAAAAGCACUCUGAAGAGAGAGUGAAAAGUACGUGAAACCGUUGAGGGGGAAAGGAAGAGAACGUUAACAUCUUCAGUGCCUUGUGUCAAUUAGUAUGCAGGGUUAGAGAAGGCUGUCGUUACUUUCUACCGUUUUUGUCAGUGGUGUUAGCUGCGUUUAGUUUCGGCUAAAUGUAGUGUGCCUCUAGCAUUGAAUUAGAUAUCUUCUGAUUCUGUUUUAACAAUGGGGAGUAACUUCAUUUUCAAUGUUCUCUCCCACCCGUCUUGAAACACGGACCAAGGAGUCUGGGUUGCCCGCAAGUGACUGUGCGAUUGAAUGCGCAUUCGCGAAGUGAAAGCAAAUAUGUGUUCCCUUAACCGGGGAUGCAUGCUCUAAGUGGUGAUAGCGCUAGAACAGCGUCUCGCAACCACGGACGGUUUCGCCAUUAAGUGCUUAAUCGAUCUUGAGCGGGUAACACAGGACCCGAAAGAUGGUGAUCUAUGCUUGGGCAGAGUGAAGCCACGGGAAACCAUGGUGGAAGCUCGAAGCGGUUCUGACGUGCAAAUCGAUCGUCUGACCCAAGUAUAGGGGCGAAAGACUAAUCGAACCAUCUAGUAGCUGGUUCCCUCCGAAGUUUCCCUCAGGAUAGCGAAGACUCAAAUAAACUGCUUUAAAACAGUUUCAUCGGGUAAAGCGAAUGAUUAGAGGCCUGGGGAACUCCGUGUUCUUCACCUAUUCUCAAACUUUAAAUCGGUGAGAUGUCCUUGUGACUUAAUUGCACUUGGACUGUCGAAUGUGAGUCUUCAGUGGGCCGUUUUUGGUAAGCAGAACCGGCGAUGUGGGAUGAACCAAACGUUGGGUUAAGGCGCCUAACUACUUGCUCAUGAGUAACCACAAAAGGUGUUGAUUGAUAUUGACAGCAGGACGGUGGCCAUGGAAGUCGGAAUCCGCUAAGGAGUGUGUAACAACUCACCUGCCGAAUCAAUCAGCCCUGAAAAUGGAUGGCACUUGAGCUAGUGGCCUAUACCCAACCGUGAACAUCGAAGUCUGACAACCUGGGUACCCGAUUUAUUGGGCCCUAGUCGGAAAUGAUACUUGCACACGUGCUUGUAAAUUAUAUGUUCACGAGUAGGAGGGAACAGCGGUUGCGUUAAAGUGUAUGCGUGAGCGUAUGCGUCAAGCGGCCGUUGGCUCAGAUCUUGGUGGUAGUAGCAAGUACUCAAAUAUGAACUUUGAGGACUGAAGCGGGCAAGGUUUUCAUGUGAACAGUGUUUGAACAUGAGUUAGUCGAUUCUGAGAGACAGGCUAAUGCCUAUUGUACUGUAGUGUUAUCACAACUACUUAGUCUCGAAAGAGCAUAGGGUUAAUAUUCCCUAACUGUCCCUAUCGGUAAUAACGGCGGCAACGCCAGCGUAACUCAAUUAGUCAAUGUGAACUUGGGGAAGAGUUUUCUUUUCUUUAUAACCAGUAGUGUUGCCUUGGAAUUGAUUCAAUCAGAGAUAAGGAACCGAGACUGGGAAGAGCACAACAGCAUUUGUUGUGUCCCAAUUGUUUGCAUUGUCCCUUGAAGAUUGAGUGAAGCUAACACCAAUAGGAACAUUCGUACCCAUAACCGCAUCAGGUCCCCAAGGUGAGAAGCNNNNNNNNNNNNNNNNNNNNNNNNNNNNNNNNNNNNNNNNNNNNNNNNNNNNNNNNNNNNNNNNNNNNNNNNCUGAUGAUUGGGUGUAACAAGCCAUUAGUCUGAAAUGUCGGUUCUUGUCGGUGUGCGAUGCCGUCUGUCGGAUGCGCAAGCGUCUGUCGGAUGGUGUUGGCGCUAACUUGGACUGUGCGUGGACUGACUUUUGGUCUUUCUCUGUUGCACGUUUAACAAUCAAGCUCAGAACUGGUUCGGACAAGAGGAAUCCGACUGGUUAAUUAAACCAAAGCAUUGCGAUGGCUGGUGAACUGGUGUUGACGCAAUGUGAUUUCUGCCCAGUGCUCUGAAUGUCAAAGUGAAGAAAUUCAAUAAAGCGCGGGUAAACGGCGGGAGUAACUAUGACUCUCUUAAGGUAGCCAAAUGCCUCGUCAUCUAAUUAGUGACGCGCAUGAAUGGAUUAACGAGAUUCCUACUGUCCCUAUCUACUAUCCAGCGAAACCACAGCCUUGGGAACGGGCAAGGCAUAGUCAGCGGGGAAAGAAGACCCUGUUGAGCUUGACUCUAGUCUGAUUUUGUGAAGUGGCUCGAAAGGUGUAGAAUAGGUGGGAGCCUGUCAAAGGGCGUCAGUGAAAUACCACUACUUUCGGUGUCACUUUACUAAUCCAGUGGCAAUGCAAAACCUCUAAUCGGGUUUGUUUAAGAGAAAGCUUGUAAUUGUUUAACCGCAAAUCAGGCGAGCAUGCCUGGAGACAGAAUCAGGUGGGGAGUUUGACUGGGGCGGUACAUCUGUAAAAAGAUAACGCAGGUGUCCUAAGGCGGACUCAGCGGGGACGGAAACCUCGCGUAGAGCAAAAGGGCAAAUGUCCGCUUGAUCUAGAUUUUCAGUGUGAUUACAGACUGCGAAAGCGUGGCCUAUCGAUCCUUUUGGUUUUAGAGACUUUAAACAAGAGGUGUCAGAAAAGUUACCACAGGGAUAACUGGCUUGUGGCAGCCAAGCGUUCAUAGCGACGUUGCUUUUUGAUCCUUCGAUGUCGGCUCUUCCUAUCAUUGCGAAGCAGAAUUCGCAAAGUGUUGGAUUGUUCACCCACUAACAGGGAACGUGAGCUGGGUUUAGACCGUCGUGAGACAGGUUAGUUUUACCCUACUGACCAUUAUUACUCUACUCUGCCUGCUUACUUACAGUAAUCCCACUUAGUACGAGAGGAACCGUGGGUUCGGACACUUGGUUUCAACGCCUGUUGAGAAAACAAGG
This 3162-nucleotide ribosomal RNA is filed under the name Philactinoposthia sp. b SE-2022. RNAcentral's name for it is "partial large subunit ribosomal RNA". It matches the Rfam family "Eukaryotic large subunit ribosomal RNA", at positions 70 to 3090 of the family's 3401-position model. Lineage: Eukaryota; Metazoa; Xenacoelomorpha; Acoela; Childiidae. The record is from RNAcentral.